GCUGAGAUCUCUUGUGCGAAGAUCAACACGUCCUACCCUCUCCAAGAAGCGUGUCUGUUCGGGUGUGGAAUCAGCACCGGCCUCGGAGCUGUCUGGAAUACCGUUCAAGUCCAUCCAGGGUCCACAGUCGCGGUGUUCGGCAUCGGAGCAGU
RNAcentral lists this non-coding RNA (152 nucleotides) under Chromera velia. The record is from RNAcentral. Lineage: Eukaryota; Chromeraceae.